RNAcentral lists this ribosomal RNA (492 nucleotides) under uncultured bacterium. RNAcentral describes it as "partial 16S ribosomal RNA". It matches the Rfam family "Bacterial small subunit ribosomal RNA", at positions 29 to 507 of the family's 1533-position model. The record is from RNAcentral.
AGUGAACGCUGGCGGUAGGCCUAACACAUGCAAGUCGAACGGCGGCACAGUAAGAGCUUGCUCUUACGGGUGGCGAGUGGCGGACGGGUGAGGAAUACAUCGGAAUCUACUUUUUCGUGGGGGAUAACGUAGGGAAACUUACGCUAAUACCGCAUACGACCUACGGGGGAAAGCAGUGGAUCUUCGGACCUUGCGCGAUUGAAUGAGCCGAUGUCGGAUUAGCUAGUUGGCGGGGUAAAGGCCCACCAAGGCGACGAUCCGUAGCUGGUCUGAGAGGAUGAUCAGCCACACUGGAACUGAGACACGGUCCAGGCUCCUACGGGAGGCAGCAGUGGGGAAUAUUGGACAAUGGGCGCAAGCCUGAUCCAGCCAUACCGCGUGGGUGAAGAAGGCCUUCGGGUUGUAAAGCCCUUUUGUUGGGAAAGAAAAGCAGCAGGUUAAUACCACGCUGUUCUGACGGUACCCAAAGAAUAAGCACCGGCUAACUUCGUG